Molecule: ribosomal RNA, 366 nt
Filed under: Platycnemis acutipennis
Lineage: Eukaryota; Metazoa; Arthropoda; Insecta; Odonata; Platycnemididae
Description: partial 12S ribosomal RNA
Source: RNAcentral
UAGAUACCCUAUUAUGCUGAGUGUAAAUAAAAUACCUGGGUAUUAUUAGAUAUGGUCUUUAAACCCAAAGGAUUUGGCGGUAUUUUAGUCUUUUCAGAGGAACCUGUCCCGUAAUCGACAAUCCACGAUUUCAUGUACUUUAAUUUGUAUGCAGUUUUUAUACCUCCGUCAUAAGAAUAUCCUUUUAGGGUUAAUUUUCUUAGUUGUUUAAGAUUAGUAUGUCAGGUCAAGGUGAAGCUUAUAUUCAAGUGGAGAUGGGUUACAAUAAAACUAUUUAUGCGGAUUUAUAUUUUUAUAUUUAUAAUGAAGUUGGAUUUGAUUGUAAAUUUAUUUUUUAGGUUUUUUGAUUUUAGCUCUAAAAUAUGC